GAUGGGACCUGUCCUGGUACAGAGGGGGAACAAAACAACUUGUAUUUGGAGCAGUGGAGAAAAAUUCAGUUUUUAAAGACAUAAGGAAAGCUUAGUGAGCAAAAAAAUUUCCUUACAGACUGAUUUUUUUUUUUUAAUUUUUAGGUUUUGUGGGUACGUAGCAGGUAUAUAUAUUUAUGGGGUACGUAUUUUGUUAUAAGCAUAUAGUGCAUAAUAACCACAGGGUAAAUGGGGUAUCCAUCACUUCAAGCAUUUAGGGACUGAUAAUUCUAAUUUUUAAAUUUUGAUUGUGAGCUAGCUUUCCUUGUUGUCAUAUAAUUACAAGUCAGUAACAUGUCCAAUAUAUUUUUCUCAUCUUUCCACGUUUCAGGAGACCAGUUUUGAUUUUAAAUGUUCUCAAUCCAGACUAAAGACAACCAAGUAUUCUUCUCAGAAAGUGAUAGGAACUCCUCAUGCCAAAAGUUUUGUGCAAAGAUUCCGAGAGGCUGAGUCCUUCACACAACUUUCUGAAGAAAUCCAGAUGGCAGUUGUAUGGUGCAGGAGCAAAAAACUCAAGGCUCAGGCCAUUUUUCUGGGUAACAAACUUCUUAAAAGCAACCGGCUUAAACAUCUGGAAGCUCAAGGUACUAGUUUGCCAAAGAAACUAGAGUGCAUAAAAACGUCUAUUUGCAACCACCUUCUUCGUGGCUCAGGUAUCAAAACUUCAAAGCAUCAUCUGAGACAGAGAAGAUCACAGAAUAAAUUUUUACGGAGACAAAGGAAACCACAGAGAAAGUUGCAGUCGACUCUUUUAAGGGAAAUUCAGCAGUUCUCUCAAGGGACUCGGAAGAGUGCUACAGAUACCAGUGCUAAGUGGAGACUCUCACACUGUACUGUGCAUAGAACUGAUCUCUACCCUAACAGUAAGCAGCUCUUGAAUAGUGGAGUUUCAAUGCCUGUCAUACAAACUAAGGAGAAAAUGAUUCAUGAAAAUCUUAGAGGCAUCCAUGAAAAUGAAACUGAUUCGUGGACGGUGAUGCAAAUAAAUAAAAACAGUACAUCAGGAACCAUUAAGGAGACAGAUGACAUUGAUGAUAUUUUUGCUUUAAUGGGAGUUUAGAUGUUCGUUCAUAUGUGAGACUUUUAAGUGAUUAACAAGGCUAGUUCAGUGUUCUAAGUAGAACUGCUAAGAUCUGGAAGUACCACCUGGACUCACAGAGGAGCUGCUUUAGUGCAGCAUUGCACAGGAGUUCAUUUCAGUUCAGUCUACAUUUAAAGUAGCAUUGUGUCAUUUCAUCAACAAGUAUUUCUUUUUUGGCUUCAACUACAUGUCAGGUGUUAAUAUGAAAAAUCUGCCACAGCCUACCCUUGAGAAGCAGAUGUAAUUCCUUGAGUGAGGCUAGUAAGUCUCUGAAAAACUGAAUAAUUUUAUGACUUACUAGGCAAUUUAAUAAUCGUUUGCAAAAACCAUUGUGUCUUGAGGUAAAUGAGGAGCGGGGGUGGGAGAUAGCAAGGAAACACCUGAAAGGUCAAUUUGGUCUUAUUGGCUCCAUUAUACAUAGGUCCGCCUCUGAAUACUAAAGUUUGUAGCUCCUGACAUUUAUGUUUUCUUGUUUAUAUGUUGGAAUUGAUCAACAAGGUUUGCCACUGCUUGUAUUACCAGGGACUGGUUACAACCAUUAUUUCUCUUCA
This 1671-nucleotide long non-coding RNA is filed under the name Homo sapiens (human). Its description in RNAcentral is "non-protein coding lnc-CD200R1-1:5". Lineage: Eukaryota; Metazoa; Chordata; Mammalia; Primates; Hominidae. The record is from RNAcentral.